RNAcentral lists this long non-coding RNA (487 nucleotides) under Erythranthe guttata (spotted monkey flower). RNAcentral describes it as "long non-coding RNA (EGUT_LNC000910)". The record is from RNAcentral. Lineage: Eukaryota; Viridiplantae; Streptophyta; Magnoliopsida; Lamiales; Phrymaceae.
UGGGGAAGUGUUGAGAGCGGGUGCUAGUGAUUUGCUCGACAACCAAGUUGACAAUGGUGCCCCCAAGGUGUUCGAGAGAUACAGUCAAAGGGUUUCCAGUGUAAGUUCUUUUUGCAGCUGAUGUAGAUUGUUUACUGAAAAUGCCAUGGGCUUUUUAUGAAGUGAUUUUUAGCCACAUUUAGUCGAUUUUUGCUCGUGCUGGCUUUUAUGUUUAUUUAUAGUGUUCCAGGAGCGGGAAAUUGUGAAUAAAAACGUUUUAUACAAAAGAAUUUGCAAUAUGUGUAGUGUAGGUACCAGGUGUUUGAUACAAGUCCCGUGUCAACUGUUGCCUAUUAUUUGUGAAGUUAUCAUCUGAUUAUGGGUGUUUUUUUGGAUCAAUCAUCUUGUCGUUUUUACAGUAAAAUACGUUAUGUUUUUUUUUUCUUUCCUUUCUAAAAAUGUCGAACUUUGAAGUUGUGAAAUUUGAAGGAACUAUGAAACUGGUCCG